RNAcentral lists this long non-coding RNA (44349 nucleotides) under Malus domestica (apple). RNAcentral describes it as "long non-coding RNA (MDOM_LNC007035)". Lineage: Eukaryota; Viridiplantae; Streptophyta; Magnoliopsida; Rosales; Rosaceae. The record is from RNAcentral.
ACCAAGAAAACAUCCUACAUCUUGGAUUUUAAAAUCCCAUAAAAGUAAACGAUUUCAAACCUUAAACUUAAAUACACAUUCACUAGCUUCACCUCCACCACUUCCUUCAAAGCACACAUCUUGGAUCGACGAGAACCGCUUAAUCAACUUCUUCGAUCUUGGGACCAGCACUGCUGCCACCAGCAGGAGGAACAUCUUCAUCCAUGCCGCCACCGACAUCAGGUCCACCAGCACCACCCUGGUACAUCUUGGCAAUGAUCGGAUUGCAGAUGCUCUCCAGCUCCUUCAUCUUGUCCUCAAACUCGUCGGCCUCAGCAAGCUGGUUUCCGUCAAGCCAUUGGAUGGCCUGGUCAAUUGCAUCCUCAAUCUUCUUCUUGUCAGCUGCGUCUAGCUUGGAGGCAAUCUUAUCGUCCUUGAUCGUGUUCCUCAUAUUGUAGGCGUAAUUCUCCAGAGCAUUCUUGGCCUCCACCUUCUUCUUGUGCUCCUCAUCUUCUGACUUGUACUUCUCAGCCUCUUGAACCAUCUUUUCAAUUUCUUCCUUCGACAAUCUUCCCUUGUCAUUGGUGAUGGUAAUCUUGUUCUUCUGCCCUGUAGUCUUGUCUUCAGCCGAGACGUUCAAUAUACCGUUGGCAUCAAUAUCAAAGCAGACAGUGAUUUGCGGAACACCCCUUGGAGCAGGAGGAAUGCCAGAAAGCUCAAAUUUUCCCAACAAGUUGUUAUCACGAGUCCUUGUCCUUUCACCCUCAUAUACUUGGAUCAAGACACCGGGCUGAUUGUCUGAGUAGGUUGAGAACACUUGCUCCUUCUUGGUUGGAACAGUAGUGUUCCUUGGAAUCAACACAGUCAUCACACCUCCGGCAGUCUCCAAACCAAGGGACAGAGGAGUGACAUCCAGAAGCAAUAGAUCCUGCACCUUCUCAUUACCCUCACCGCUCAAGAUGGCAGCCUGCACGGCGGCACCAUAAGCUACAGCCUCGUCUGGGUUGAUGCUCUUGCAUAGCUCCUUGCCAUUGAAGAAGUCUUGCAACAACUGCUGUACCUUCGGAAUCCUAGUAGAGCCACCCACUAGCACAACAUCAUGGACCGUGCUCUUGUCCAUCUUUGCAUCUCUCAAACACUUCUCAACGGGCUCCAUACACUUUCUGAAGAGAUCCAUGUUAAGCUCUUCAAACCUGGCACGGGUAAUGGUUGAGUAGAAAUCAACACCCUCGUACAAAGAAUCAAUCUCAAUUGUGGUCUGAGCAGUGGAGGAGAGAGUCCUCUUUGCCCUCUCACAAGCAGUUCUCAACCUCCUAAGAGCUCUUGGGCUGCUGCUGAUGUCCUUCUUGUGCUUCCUCUUGAACUCUUGAACAAAGUGAUUCACCAUUCUGUUGUCGAAAUCUUCUCCUCCCAAGUGGGUGUCUCCGGCAGUUGCCUUCACUUCAAAGAUACCCUCUUCAAUUGUGAGCAGGGAGACAUCAAAAGUGCCUCCGCCAAGAUCGAAAAUCAAGACAUUCUUCUCCCCAACGCUGGUUGCCUUCUUGUCAAGACCGUAUGCAAUAGCGGCAGCGGUGGGCUCAUUGAUAAUACGCAAAACAUUAAGGCCGGCAAUGACCCCAGCAUCCUUUGUGGCCUGACGCUGAGAAUCGUUGAAGUAAGCCGGGACAGUAACAACGGCAUUCUUUAUAGAUGAGCCAAGAUAGGCCUCAGCAAUCUCACGCAUCUUGACGAGAACCAUGGAGGAAAUUUCUUCAGCAGCGAACUGCUUCUCUUCGCCCUUGUAUAUGACAACAAUCAUGGGCUUGUCACCGGGGCCGGGAAUGACCUUGAAAGGCCAGUGCUUCAUGUCACCCUGGACAGAAGGGUCAGAGUAUCUCCUACCAAUCAACCGCUUGGCAUCUGAAAAAUUAACCAAGCUCGUUUAAAAUACUAAUUUAUUAAUUACGCAUAACACAGAACAUGCUACCAAUCAAGCUAAAUCCUUUAAAUAUUAUCAAAAAUAAAAAUAACCAAACAGAUCAAGCUUCAAACACUACAAGCUCAGACAGCGUUUCUAAAAUUUCACCAUCAAUUAACAAGAAACUUAAAACCCAAAUUAUAAUUUUUAAGAGAUUAACUAAAACUCAAAGCCUUGAUCACCAAGUACAAUAUUUGAUAGUCCUUUAAUAUUAACUACAUAAAUCCUGCAAAUAACAAUAAAUAAAAAAAUCAACCAUUUUUUUUCUUUUUCAAUUCGCUAUAAAAAGAUUCAAGGCAGGCAAAAACCUCGCAUAAAAUUAGCUCCAUCGUAAUUUAUCACACCGAACCUCAAAAAGAGAAGUACUUUCAAGGAAAUUGAACUCUUUUUCUCAGAAAUUCAAGCAACAGAAAUCCAAAAACAGAAAAAUUUAAACCAGCAGCAAAUAUUGACAGUAAAUUCAUAAAAUCAGCCAUACAAGCAUAUAGAUCAGACAGUACAGAGUAAAAUUGAUUCAAAAAACGCAACAUGCAAGGCAACAAAAAAAAAAACAUCAUAACAUCAGAAAUAUCGCAAGAAAAGAGAAGAAUUUCGAUUCUUACCAAAGACGGUGUUGACGGGGUUCAUCGCUACCUGGUUCUUGGCCGCAUCGCCGAUCAACCUCUCCGUGUCAGUAAACGCCACGUAAGACGGAGUCGUCCGGUUGCCCUGAUCAUUGGCGAUGAUCUCGACACGAUCGUGUUGCCAAACACCGACGCACGAGUAAGUGGUUCCGAGAUCGAUCCCGAUCGCUGGCCCCUCUCCCUUUCCCGCCAUUGCAACCGCAGAGAUUCAAGCAAUCGAACAAGCAAAGAAUCGCAGAUAAAAUUAAAGAUCGAACCGCAGAGAAAAGUAAAGAGCUUCUGAGAUUUUUUGUGCAAUGGGCUGUUCGUAGUCACAGGUGUUGGAUUAAGAGUAGUGAAUUGGGGGGCUAUAUAGUAGGACACUUGUCUAGAAUGUUCGUGAGGAUAUUGACGAUUUUUGGUGGGAGGGUGUCCAGAAUGUUCGGUUUGAUAACGGCCGUUGGAUUCGAGUGUCGUGGACGGUGAUGAUUUGAUUUGCUUCGCGGGGUUGGUUUCUUUACUUUUUGAUCGAAACUUCGUGUCCACUCCCUUCGUCGUCGGAAAUUUGUCUUCUCGUCAAUUUCCUUGUUGGAAAACGUUUCACAGGACGGUGGCGUUUUGCGUGUGGGCUGUGACUUGACUUUUGGGCUUUCGAAGGGCUUUGAAUCCAAACGUGUUUGGGUCAGGCUGCACUGCAGUCCUUAUGGUAUGUGUUUGUGCAAUACUGUUUACAAUUGCUUUUGGACCAAAUGUAAUGGUUGAGUUAAAGCUUAAAAUUUAAGAAAAAUUAAUGAAAAUGAUUUGAAAACUUUAAGUUUUAACAAUAAAGAUAAAAUAAAGGGUAAAAUGAAUAGUAUCAGGAUUGACUUUUUAGUGUAAAAAUAUGAUUUUUCGUUAAAUUGAACAGUACUGUGAGCUUUUCGUUAAAGUUCUCUAAAAUUUAAUCUUUAUAUUAUAUCCCCCAAGGCAUUUCCAAUUAUUACUCUCUUUUAGUAUUUUUUGGCAUCAAUCCUUGGUAAAAUGCAAGUGAGUCAUGUGAAAGCACUUUAAGUGCUUUUAGGUCUCGUUUGGCAGUUCAGACUAUACUGACUAUUUCAGUCGGAUAGAAUAAUCUAUCACCGGAUUGUACUGACUAAAUUAAUUGAGUGUUUGGUGCAGUAUCAUACUAAUUACCGUAUUAUUUAUAAUCUAUUUGUUACCGUAUCCGAUACGAGAUCGGAUUAUAUUAUUUUUACUAAAAAAAUUUGAUGACUAAUGAAAAAAAGGAAAUAAUUUUUUGAUAAAAAUUCAGAACAACCAAAUGCAUCAAAUUAAAUAAAAAUAAUCUUGAUAUUGCAUUUUCUAUUUGUCCUUUAUUUAAAUCAAAUUAUUAAAAAAAAAAAAAAUCAUUUCUUCCCUAGAUCUUCUCCACUGCACAUGAUUCACCAUACCAAAUGGGAUGGACAAUAGAAUCAGCAUAAACCCUAUACCCAAUAGCAUGAGACUUCUUCCCAAAUGUUCUAUGCAUGUGAGAUUGCUCCCUGAUCUCUCACAUUUCUUUCCAUGAGGAGUCAACCCAAUUCCAACGAUGCUGCAGCGAUGUUGAGCAGUAGGUGAAUGCAGGCGGUGCUCCGACGACGUGGGUUUCAGUUGGAUCUAGUUCAAAUCUAGGAUCGAUGGCACGCGAACCCGUGCAGGCAGAGCCGGCCCUGCGGGUGUACAACAGGUGCCACCGCACAAGGCCACCAAUUCGGAAGGGCCCCUAAAUUUUCAUUACAUAUAUACAGAUGCAUAUAAAAUAGAUUAGAUGCAAAAAAAUAAUCUUAUCUAUGGUUCUAGCGUAAGCGAUUUAGCUCUUCUUUCUUCUAGCUCAUGUGUUGGGUUUGAAUCCCAAUGAUAUUGUUUUGUUAUAUUUUAAGCUUUUGCAAAUUUGUAAACAGGAGAUAAUUUGUUAUAUUUUAAGCUUUUGCAAAUUUGUAAACAAGAGAUAACAAAAAGGCAUUCAACGUGUAUCAAACUCAGGACCUUUGAAGGUAAGGAAAAACACCUGGCUAAUCAAACAACUUAUUUUUGUUGCAGUAACUUGUAAUAUUUUAGUUUUAUAGAUGAAAAAAUUGAAAAAAAAUAAUAAUAAAGAAAUAUAACAUUAAAAAAAAUGAAGGGCCUCCAUCUAAGUUUUGCACAUGGCCCCUCAUUACUCAGGGCCGGCCCUGCGUGCAGGUCCUACAACGAGGAACUGUAGAGGAGGGCGACGGCCGCGACGAGAAACUAAAGAGGAGGGCGACAACUAUAAAGUGCAAAAGGAAGAAGAAGAUGAAGAAGAAAUGAGAAGGAUGAAGAAGAACCUGGGGUUGAAGAUGGAAACAGAAGUGAGUUUGUAGAAUGAUGCGAGAAAGCCAGACCGAUAGAGGGAGGACACAGACCCGACUAAUAAUACAUAGGUUUUUGGAAGGAUAAAUAGCGGCCAUACACCGGAUAAAAGAUGUAGGCCUAGUUUAAGUAAUACGGGUACUAUUUAGUACAUAGUUGCACCAAACACCCGGCUCCAUAUAACUUAUCCUAUAUGAUUCCUUGUACAACUCACAAAUGAGGCCUUAGAACCCGAAAAUAUUUUCACUAAAAGUCAUUUCAUUCAUUUUAAAAGCACUUCCAAAAAAGCUCUUAAUAAAGCAUAAUGAUUGGAAAUGUUUGGGAGGGACAUUGCAUUUGAUCUAAAAGCAUUUCUAAACUGAUUCAUCAUGUAUUGCACAAACACACACCAUAUGAACUGUAGUGAAUCAAAUUUCACGCAACAUACUCUAUAAAUACCUAUGUAUUUAUUCAAACAUCCACACAAAAUUAGGAUAAUCUACAUAAUGUGUAGAAAUGAUUUUUCAUAUGUGUAUGAACUUGUGUUUAAGAAUGGGGUGGAUUUGUGUGAUUUUUUUUAUUAUUUAUUAGAAUUCUAAUAUUUUUAGCUUAAAAUAUAAAUAAAAAUAAAUUAGUAUAAUCUACGUAAUUUUUUUUUUAAAUUAUCGUGAAAAAAAUUAAGCUAAAAUUAAUUUUUAAUAAUUUGGGGCUUCAAUUAAAAAAAGCCAUAACUAUUGGAAGUAAAAAACUUUUUAUAGGUUAUACCUUAAAAUUUCAUGUUUAACUCACACCAUUGCACAUUGUUUUACAACUGAUUUUAUAAUGCUCAUUAGCGUUUCUUCUACAAGGAACUACUGCUACAGAACUAAUAGCCUCCAUAGCCUCAGCUGCUUUGAUGACUUAUAACUUCUCCAAAGCAGAUGUCAAAAUUGCCACAUAGACAUAUACUCGAACCGAGCCUUCAAUUUCCUAUACGGCGUUGAGUCAAUUGAAGACAAAGUAUUCUGUUGUCAAAUCCAUUUAGUAUUUUUCUAAUAAAUUUAAUGCAAAUAUAAUAAACGUUGUGUAUUCUAAGAAUUUGAUUGGUUGCCUACAUAAAUAGACCCCACAAAGUGAUUAAUUUUUUUUUAAAUGACAUUAUUGUUUAACAUAUCGGGUGGUAAAAAGAAUUACUCCACAAAGUGAUUAAUUUUUUUUAAAUGACAUUAUUAUUUAACAUAUCGGGUGGUGAAAAGAACAAUAAAGACAAAAUUCAAACAGGAAAUCUGAGAGAAUUUUGUAAAAAAAAAAAAGGCUUCUUUGGCAAAAUACCGGAAUACGAUAUUGAACAAAAUGACCAAAAUCACCAAACAUCCUACAUCUUGGAUUUUAGAAUCCCAUAAAAAAGUACCCAAUUCCAAACCUUAAACUAAGAAACAGAAAAAUACGUUCACCACUUUCUUCAAAGCAAACACUUUGGAUCAACAAAAACCGCUUACUCAACUUCUUCGAUAAUAAUAUUGGGACCAGCACCGCUGCCAGCAGCAGGAGGAAAGUUCCCCCAGCACCCUGUUCCCUGGUACAUCUCGGCACUGAUCGAAUUGCAGAUGCUCUCCAGCUCCUUCUUCUUUUCCUCAAACUCGUCAGCCUCAGCAAGCUUGUUUCCGUCAAGAAAAAGAAAGUAUCUCGAUUCUUACCCAGGACGGUGUUGACGGGGUUCACGGCGACCUGGUUCUUGGCCGCAUCGCCGAUCAGCAUCUCCGUAUCAGUAAACGCCACGUAAGACGGCGUCGUGCGGUUACUCUGAUCAUUAACGAUGAUCUCGACGCGGUCGUGUUGCCAAACACCGACGCACGAGUAAGUAGUUCCGAGAUCUAUACCGAUCGCUGGCCCCUCUCCCUUUCCCGCCAUUGCAACUGCUGAGAUUUAAUCCAUCAAACAAGCAAAGAACCGCAGAGAAAAGUAAAGAGCUUUUGAGAUUUUUGGGCGAUAGGUAAAGAAACUUAGCUAGGAACAAAUCUCAGUUUGUAAAAAUUUCCCGCCUUUUUGUAAGGUAAUGCUAGGGAGACUAAAUUUACAAAUUAAAUUAUGUAUUAUCAACAAAAAUGAGUACCUUUAUUCAUGUUUAAGUAAUAAAUCAAUUAUCAACUUCUAUGUUCUUUAGUUUUCAAAAUUUAGUAUACAAAUUUAGUCUUUCAAACAUUUCUCUUUUUUGCAUGUCCAUGUGGAAUACCAUUUUCCCAUCAUAGGUAGGGUUUUUUUUUCUUUUCCCGUUCACGCAUAAAGACAUUCUUAUAGUAACAAUACGCUAAGGUACAAUGUCUAAUUUUAAUAUUUGUACUUAUCAAGAGACAUUCUUUCAUUUUAAUUUUUUUUAGUUGAAAAUUUGUAUGAACUUUUACACCGUUAUAUUUAAAUUAAGAUACUGCAAGCCUCUUAACUUGAAAAGAGAAAAACGCAUAAAGCCUAUUAAACCAUUAUUUAACUGAUAAAAUAGUAUAUAAUAAAGAAGUUAGUAGAAAACCUAUCGUAAAUACAAACAAAAUGACUUGCACCAAAGCCUAGUAAACCAAAAAGAAAUGAUGAGAAUGUAGAGAGGAUAUUAAUAUUUGUAAAUGUAAAGAACUAAGGGGGUGUUGUUGCGCAGGACUAUCUCAGACUGGACUAGCUUUAAGGACUAAGCUGGACUAGUUUAGACUAGACUAAGCUGGACUAACUUAGUGAAGCGUUUGAUGCAGUGUUGGACUAAGAAGUUGGAUAAUAACAAAUUCUAAUAUUAUAAUAUUUUAUUAUGAUCUAGGUGACCGGAGAUGACGAGGAGUCUAUCGGGAGUGGUUGUUGAGCAUGAUGAGGACGAGAGAGGAUAGUCUUAGCUAGUCCCAUGAUUAUUGGGGGUCUCGCUAAGACUUCUUAGUGAAGGAUUUUGUCCAUGUUAGUCCCCUUUAGUCUCAUUAAUGUUAGUCCCAGCAUGGAACAAACACAGUAUUGGACUAACAGCUAGUCCAAUCCAGUCCAAUCCCACUUAGUGAGGGCAAACAAACGCCCCCUAAAUGAAACGUACACCCAUUACUGGUCCAAAUCUGUAAUCCUUAUUUUAGAUUGCUAAAAUGAAACUGAAAAUGAACGAUGCUAAGUAUACAUGUAUGCUGUCUUUGCUUGCGAAACUCAAGCAAUUUGCUAAAGCUGAGAAACUCUAUACUGAAUAGAACUCUAUUUCGGAGACACUAGGGUUUCAAAUAUACUCCUUGCAGCAUACAUCAAAGAAAACCAAACGAAAGUACUGAAACCUUUUGUUUAUACCAUAUUUAGGGCCUUGUAUUUAGACCUCGUAUAAAUACUCAGGAGACUUAAAUGUAAUUAUGUAAUAAAGGAAGGGGUAAAUAUGUAAUUAGGGGAGGAGCCCUUAUUCUAUAAAAGGGCCUCCUCACCCUCACAAACGGGGGGGGGGGGUCUCUCCUCAUCCCUCUCAAAGCUCUCACUCUCAGAGCUCUCUCUCCCUCAUUUCUCAGAGAAAUAUAAUACAAUCUGUGUUGACGUAGCCCAAACCUUGGGGUGAACCACGAUACAUCUUGUGUCAUUUACAUUACUUGCAGAUUCACGGUCGGAUUUACGUUGUUCCAAGACCUCCGGUUUUGUGCAUCAACAUUUGGCGCCGUCUGUGGGAAACGACACGAAAAGUUAUGUCGGUUCUCUCUCAAAUUUUCAUCUCACCACCGUGAAACCCUCACAACCUCCACCAUGAAUCUGUAGAAACCCAAUAACCAAACACCUAGAGAGUCACUGCAAAACCCAUGUCUUCCGUUCCAGCUCCCGGUCACGGCAGAAGCGAUGGAAACACAACCACCACCUCAUCUCUCUCUCUCUACAUUUUCUGUGCAGAUCUUGAGACCUAAAUCAGAACAUAAGCAUCAAUGUUACAAACUAAACCUGCAUCAGAAAAUAGAGCCUCAGUGCUUCUCAGCCGUUGGAUCCAUAGCGAAGCUCACCAGCUUCACCAUUUUGCUCGCCUUCUUGCUUUCCUGCUUCACUUUUGCUUCUACACAAACUCAAAAUCCCAAAUGGAUUUCAAGCUCCAAGCUCUGCUGUGCCUUGUAGUUCUUCAAGUUCUGGUCUUCUUCUCAAAGGAAGCAGAAGCAGCAGAACACAGCCAUGGCAGCAACUUGAGAGUCCACAAGAAGUAAGUGAGCAGCUGCAAUUUGUUCCAAGGCAAUCAAGGUUUUCACCUACCUUCGAAUCUGCCAUCUUAGUUAGAAGUCCACAAUCAAAUGAACUCCGAAUCCUCGAAUUCAACCGCUGCAGUUCUCUGGGCUCGAGGAUAGGUUGUGGCAGAAAUAACGAAAAAAACAGCCACUGAUGAUGCUGCAAACUCGCCACGGCCACCAGUGGAAAACCAACGAAAAAGGCCAAGAUGCGGAGGUUAGUGCAUCAACACACUUUGUUCCUUAAAGUCAAGGUCCGAGGAGCUGGCUGCGGGAGGAAGAAUGGGGCUGAUCUGGUUUGGAAGGAGUGGCCCAGAUCAUGUCGACAGAGGUAACAGUUUCUUCUGGCAGCCAAAAUUAAAGGUCCACUUCUCUUUCCUCUUUACACCAAUCACCAAAGUCAUCAUCCAUGGCUGCCUCAUCCUCUUCUGCAACCUUCAAGAAGGUCUCUUUUUGCCACCCUUAGCUUGCACAGCCCGCAACCAUCUGCCGCCUACUGCACCACCAUCUUCUCAAGUAGACAGCCACAUCCGGUUUCGUCAGGUCCAUACACGUGUCGCUGCAACUACAGACGCAAAUGGAGACGCCACUGUUUCACGUAGUGAACGGCAGCAAGUUCCAUGACUAUGAGCCGGUGAAGAGCCCACCUGGGCUGUUGCUGGUGUAUGUGCUGUUAUCAUCAUCAUCUCAUUAAUUUUGGAGAAGGUCCUACACAAAGUUCGAAAAUUCUGCACCUAAAAAGAAAUGGAGGGCACGACAAAAGAAGAAGAAAAUGGAGGAAAGGAAUAAAGAAAGAAAAAGGUGUUAGUGGAAUUGUAAACAAUUCCACAAAGAAGUGGAAGACUAUUCUGCACCUAAAAAGAAAUGGAGGGCACGACAAAAGAAAAAAAAAAUGGAUGUCUAGAGAAAAGCAGAAAGUAAAAGCAAAAAGCAAAAGAAGAUAUAAAGAAGUAGACAUAAUUGCAGUGGUGAUGACAUGUAGAAAAGGGAAUUAUGGGCGUGACCCAUUGAGCAGAGGGUGGGCUUUAUUUUUGAAUGAUGUGAUUUAUUUUUUUUAUCUCUAAGAAAUAUCUGUAUAAACCACAUCAGAGGGUAAUAAUACAAAAAAAAAAAAAAACGGCAAAGCCCAAAAUUAAUGGGCUGGCAUGUCAUGGAGGGCGAAUGCCCAUAAGCCCAAAAUAGCACCAACCAGGUGACCAAAAGUAUGCCCAGUACUCCAAAAAUUAUUCGGCAACUUGCCUCUAUUAUCACCAACCAGGUGACCAAAAGUACGCCCAGUACUCCAAAAUUAUUCGGCAACCUGCCGCUAUUACCACCAACCAGGUGAUGAAAUGUACAACCCGUACUCCAAUAUCAUUUGGCAACCAACCAUUCAUACCACCAACCAGGUGAUGAAAUGUACAAACCGUACUCUAAAAUAAUUUGGCAAUUAGCCAUUUAUGCCACCAACCAGGUGAUCAAAAGUACACCCAGUACUUCAAAAUUAUACAUGAGCACUACUCAUGUCAUUCGUACAUAGACAUUCAUGAGCAUCACUCAUAUCAAUCAUACAUAAACAUUUAUGAGCAUCACUCAUGUUAACAUUCAUGAGCAUCACUCAUGUUAACAUCCAUGAGCAUCACUCAUGUCAAUCAAACAUUCAUGAGCAUCACUCAUGACAAUCAGCUUCAAAAGUUUCAUUUACAAAGCCUUAGCUUCAAAAGAGUCAUUUACAAAAGCUCUAGCUUCAAAAGCUUCAUUUACAGAGCUCCAACUUCAAAAGCUUCAUUUACAAAAGCUCUAGCUUCAAAAACUUCAUUUACAGAGCUCCAGCUUCAAAGCUUCACUUGCAAAGCUUCACCUACAAAGCUUCAGUGCAUGGUCUACAAAGACCGCCUCCGAACAACCGCCAUUUCAGCCCAUACAUGGAUUGAAUUUGAAGUCUCCAGCCAACAUCGUCUAUUGACCGAAGACUUGGGGGACUACAUUAUGUACCAUAUAUUAGGCCUCAACUGGGCCUUAUGAAAAAUACUUGGGGGACUCUAGCCCAUUAUUCAUGUACUGAGGAGCGAGCCCUUAUUUUAUAAAAAAGGACUCCCUCACCAUCAUUAGAGAGCAACGCCGCCAGCUGAACAACCGUCUCGCCGCCAGCAUCAACUCUAGCCUAUUAUUUAUGUAUUGAGGAGCGAGCCCUUAUUCUAUAAGAGGAACUCUCUCACUUUAAUUAGAGAGCACCCAUUAUUCAUGUACUGAGGAACGAGCCCUUAUUUUAUAAAAGGGACUCCCUCACCUUCAUUAGAGAGCAACGCCGCCAGCUGAGCAACCGUCUCACCGUGAGCAUCACUCCGAACCCAUAUUUAUGUAUUGAGGAGCAAGCCCUUAUUCUAUAAAAUAGACUCCCCUCACCACCAUUAGAGAGCAUCAACUCUAACCCAUCAUCCAUGUAUUGAGGAGUGAGCCUUUAUUCUAUAAAAGGGACUCCCUCACCUUCAAACGCUGCAAGCCGAGCUAACCAAGGCAACAUAAGCCACGAGCCGAGCAGCCUCGCAGCGUGUGCUACUUCUAGUUGAGCGUCAUUUUAGAUUGAGCACUGCCUCAUAUCGAACAUCAGUUCAAGACAGCAUCUAGUUACUUCGGCCCACACAUGGACUGAAUUUCAAGUCUCCAGCCAAAAGACUCUCUUGACUGAAGACUUGGGGGACUACUGUUUAUACCAUAUUUAGGGCCUCGUAUUUAGACCUCGUAUAAAUACUCGGGGGACUUAAAUGUAAUUAUGUAAUAAAGGAAGGGGCAAAUAUGUAAUUAGGGGAGGAGCCCUUAUUCUAUAAAAGGGCAUCCUCACCCUCACAAACGGGGGGGGGGGUCUCUCCUCAUCCCUCUCAAAGCUCUCACUCUCAGAGCUCUCUCUCCCUCACUUCUCAGAGAAAUAUAAUACAAUCAGUGUGGACGUAGCCCAAACCUUGGGGUGAACCACGAUACAUCUUGUGUCAUUUACAUUACUUGCAGAUUCACGGUCGGAUUUACGUUGUUCCAAGACCUCCGGUUUUGUGCAUCAACACCUUUCAUAGUCGGAUGGAGCAAAAUAUACUUCUUUCGUAUUUUCCCUAUGAAACCAACUUCAAAACUGAUAUACAAAUUAAAAAAUUUCAAACAUUCAAUUACCCAAAAACCACAGUGGUGGAAAUCAAGGCCGGCCCUAAGAAUUUAAGGGCCCUAUGCAAGAUUUAGAUGGAGGCCCUUCAUUUUUUAAUACUGUAUUUUCUUUGUUAUUUUUUUUUUCAAUUUGUAUCUAUAGAAUUUAAAUACUACAAAUUAGAGCACCACUUUGAGUGGACAAUUGAGUGUUUCUUGUCUUGAAAGGUCUUCAGUUUGAAAUAUGUUGCAUGGUUUUUUGUGUAAAACUUAACAACUUUUUAAGUUAAUAAAUUUGCAAAACUUAAAAAUAGCAUUUUUUUUCAAUUUGUAUCCAUAAAAUUUAAAUACUACAAAUUAGAGCACCACUUUGAGUGGACAAAAGUGUUUCUUGUCUUGAAGGGUCUUCAGUUUGAAAUAUGUUGCAUGAUUUUUUGUGUAAAACUUAUCAACUUUUUAAGUUAAUAAAUUUGCAAAACUUAAAAAUAGCAAAAUGGUUCUACAAGGACUUGGACUUGGGCCAUGUACAAGAAGAUAGAAUGCCUACACCACUAGCACUAGUGUGGUGAUUAUUAUUAUUUUGCACAUUUAAGUAUAUAAUAGGUAUCUGUUUACAUGUAAAGAAACUUUGGAGGCCCUUCCGAAUUUGGGGCCUUGUGCGGUGGCACUUUUUGCACACUCUCAGGGCCGGCUCUGGUGGAAAUGAAUUGAGCCAUUGCAUGACAGCGUGUUUUCGAACCCCAUCGGUGACUAAUCUAAUAAAACUUAUCGUUUGACAAAAAAAAUUCAAUUACCCAGAAACCAAAAAUGGAAAUUUUAUUAAAUUAAAUUAAAAUAAACUCAUUGGCAAAAGGAACAUAAAAAUGAAAAUUUCUACUAAAUUAAUUAAUACAAACUAAUGCGCAAGAGGAGCAUAAACAACCUUUUGAAUUAAUCUAAAGAGAUACAAACUAAAAAUACCGGUUGUGGAGCAAAAAAUAAUCACAAGGCGACACGUGGAUUCUUGGGUAAAAGAGGACAAAAAUACCCUUGAGGCAUACUGGGAUUCCUACGCGCGAGCAACGGGCAAUCAUCCCUCAACCAAGUCAAAAGUGCCCAAAAUAGGUAACAAUUUAAAGCCUAUUUCAUCAAAUCCUUUCUAUAAGGUAAUUCCUAAAACCUAAUUUAUUCUAUAUAUUUUGUAUUCCAUUAUUUAGCUAAUCAAUUAGCUAAAUGAUAUUUUCCUUUCAUAUUCCCUAAAAAUUGAUUAAUUAAGGGAUUAAUUACCUAAUCAAUCCCUUAAUUAUCAAUUAAAACACCCAUUCACACCUAAAACUACUAAGAGGUCGGCUACCUCCCUUUUCCUAACCUUUUUCACUUUUCUCCAUUUUAUUACCCCAUUUAUACAAAUAAUCAAUUUUGUAACUCCUAAUUAAACCUAAAUUAAACCCAAAAAACCCUAGCCACCUCCUAUCCCUAUAAAUAUACUCUCAUUCUCACCAAAAAAGCCAAUUCCAACACUUUGGCAAAAAUCCCAAAAUUCUCUAAACACUCUUUCUCUCUAAAUUCUAACUUUGGCAUCGGAGGUUCUUCGGCCAAACCCCCCCAUUCAUCGAGGGCGCACGAGGCUCUUGGCCUUAACCUAAGGUGUUAAUUGUUUUGUAGGUGCAAAAUUGUCCAAGAUCAAGGAGGAAGAAAUUUGCAUCCACAAAUUGGUGCUUUCAUUGAGAGUUGAAAUCCAUACUCGUAGAAGACUCUCGCACAAAAAGGUUUUUUCUUUAUUUUCUAGUCCAUUUGAAUAUUUUUCAUACGUUCUUAUUAUUAGAUUUUUUUACUUGCAAAGGUUCUUUGAUAAAACGUAAGCAAAAUAUGAUGGCUAGAAAUUUAGAAAAUCCACAAGUGAAAAUUCUAAUGUUCAAGAAAUGGGAUUGCGGAGAUCCGUGAGGCUAAAUGCGACAAUAAGUGGAGCAGCACCACCACCACGAGUUUCCACCAUGGGAACCACCACGGUGGCAGGGUCUAUGGUGCCUUCACCACGGCUCGAGCCAUGCCAUCCAAGGCUCACGGCCCAAGUCGUGCCAUCCAAGUUUGCACGGGCCCAGGCCCAAGCCUCGCAUUCGCAUGCAUCACAUACUAAGCAGCCUGCUCCAGCCAAGCAACCUGCUCUCGCGGCCCAGCCUGCUCUUGCCAAGCAACCUACUCUCACGGCCCAUCCUGCUCCAGUGGGUUUCCAAGUAGCCCAAGUCGGCCCAAGACUAUCUUAACCAUCCGGACCUACCAUCGAGCCGGGGGCAUUCUCACCAUAUUUUUUCAUGGAUUUGACAUUUCCCAACUUAAAUCUCGCGCCCGGAGUCUACCACCCUUCCACUGCCCAAGGAGGCGCAUUCCUUCCAAGCUUUUCCAAUCCAAAUGGCGAACAACACUUGUCUCGACAAGUCAUAGAGUUGACGAGCGCCCUUGCACAACAGACAACCUUGGUGAAUCAACUUUUGCAACGCAUCGGGAUCCAACGUGCCCGGACGAGGUAUCCCGAAGUAGGACAAAGGCAGACAGACCUUUUCAGCAGUGUCUCGGUAAGCAGCCACUCGACUAGCCACAAGCCGAACGUUUGGGCAGUGUACAUUCCCGUCUUAGCGCGCGGAGAAGCAUGCACUCUCGACUAGGCCCACGGAUGAGCAUACAUUCACAGUUGGGGUCAUACUCCGAUAGUCAACAUGAGUAACCUUCCAGAAAAAUUGUCCAUUCGUGGCUAAGCCCACAAAGAGCAUCAUCCACCUCACAUCAGAGUAGGCAACACGACGGACGGAGAGAAGCAGUCACUCAAUCCAGCUCAAGUUCAACCAGCAGCCUGGGAAAAACUCGUUCGCCUGCUAGGAACGCACCACAUGCACUGCAUCCGCAACAUAGACGAGCCAAACACAUGGAAGAGCAGCCUAGACCAGCAAGUCAUGGCUGGGGGGCAGCCGAGAGCUCCGCUACCCUAACAAAGGCAAAUUCAGGAAGAAGUAGAGAGACUAUUGACCAAGCGAUUGCAUGAUUUCCAACGCAACGAGGUCACCGACGAGGCACUACGACGGAACAUGACCAACAUAAGCAGGUCACCCUUCACAGACGAGAUCGAGCAGGCAGAGCCUCCACGCGAGUUCAGCAUGCCACAUUUCACAUAUUUCAAAGGGGAUGAAGACCCAGAGAGACACUUAAAGCGCUACCGAAGCGCAAUGAUCCUUUAUUGAAACAACGAUGAUCUCAUAUGUAAGAUAUUCGCCACCACUCUACAAGGCGAGGUGCAAGAUUGGUUCUACACCCUACCGCCAUAAUCCAUCCAGAAUUUCUACGAACUUUCUUUGGUUUUCACCAAAGAAUAUUCAUCUUAUCGCCCGAUCAAAAAGAAGGUUGACCAUUUGUUCGACAUCAAGAAGAACCCAAAGGAAUCGCUUCGCGACUAUGUGAGGAGGUUCAAAGUAGAGAAGGCAAAAAUAGUCGGAUGCAACGACUCGAUAGCUAAAGCAGUCUUCCAAAAAGGACUUCCAGCAGACCACCCGCUAUUCAAAAAAUUGAUCAUGAAAGAAGAUCUAACUCUAGCAGACUCUUUUACUUUGGCAGAGAAGCAUGCAUUUUGGGAUGAGGCUUGCCAAUGCACAUUCAAGGACUUGAAGAAGUACCCGACAUCACUUCCAUAGAAGCAGCGGAUGACUUAUUCGCAUGUUUGACGGUAUCUAAAGUAGCAAUAAGCUCUACCAUCAUGCGAGAAGAGCUGGGGGCCCGACUACCUGUAUUCUACAGUUCGAUGCUAUUAAAAAUUUAAAAGCUGACUUUGGCGAUAAUUGUGUAACCCAAAAGCUUAAGUUUUACCUUCAAACGCAAGCAGUCAUCAUCAUGACGCACUAUUCCACCGAAUCCAAACCGACAACGAUAAAGGCGUAGACCCUGCCAGAUGCAAAGUUUUCUGACGAACGUAAGAACUCAGCCUAACGACGCCCCGAAGGCAGUCGAGCACACUUUGGCCACACCUGCUCCCUCAAUGGAGAUUUUUGGGGUUUGCAUGUCGACGGCGCAUCCAACUACGAAAGCUCGCGAGUAGUCGUGGUUCUUGCCACCCCAGACAUUUCAAUGCUCAAGCAGGCGAUCACUCUAAACUUCAAAGCAUCUAACAACGAAGCAGAGUACGAAGCCCCACUAGCAGACCUUCAACUGACAAAAGACUUGGUGGUGAACAAGCUUUCCAUUCAUUCCGAGUUCUAGCUAAUCACCAGCCAGACUACCAGGGGCAAAUGCAUGAUGAUCGUGGAAACCGACUACUUCACCAAAUAAGUAGAAGCAGAGCCCAUGACGAUCAUGUUUCAGACAGACAUAGAGCGCUUCAUAUGAAGGAGUAUCAUUUGUCGAUUUGGCAUCCCUUAAUCUAUCGUCACCGACAACGGCCCGUAAUUUAUGGGCAAAGAUUUGGUGAAGUUAUUCAAAAAAUAAGGCAUCAAGUAGCACAUGUCUACGCCAAGAUAUCCUCAAGGCAAUAGGCGGGCCAAAGCAUCUACUAAGAUGAUCCUCGACUGCCAUAAGAAAUCCCCCACCAAUAAGAAAAGAAAAUGGCCAGACGAACUCCAAGGAUGUCUAUGGGCAUAUCGCACAACCAAAAGACGAGCAACCGAAAGUAGAUGGCCACAAGCUUAGAUCUGGCAGAAGAGAGUCGCGAACAGACUAUCAUUCGCAUUGCAGCCUACCAGCAUCAGCUCCUCUCCAGCUACAACAAAAGGGCCAAGAUCCGGCAGUUCCAACCCGGAGAUCUGGUCAUAAGAAAAACCUUAAUCACUGCCAGCAGAAAAGGCUCCAAAAAUAUGGAUCCCAUAUGGGAAAGUCCGUACAAGAUCAGCAGAGUAGGUGGCAAGAACAAUUACACCCUCGCCACCAUAAAACGACUAAAAGAUCAAAAAACAGUGGAACGCCUACAAUCUGAGGAAGUACCAUGUGUGACAUUUCGCUACAUCAAAGCCCGAAGACUCAAGCAGCUCGACGGGCACUACCUCACCAGCCGAGGAUUAUCCAGUUGUUAUGCAGUUAUUACCUUACAUCUAAGUUCUCGUUCGUUUAACUCAUUUUUCAAUGAGGAAUUCAUAAGUAAUCACGACUUGGCUUGGUUGCAUGCUUACAACAACUGAUCACUCCUGCACUUCAAAAGAAGACCGCGCCCUUCUUAGGGACUUACUGCAGGAAUUGCGCCCCCCGAAGGACCAACCAUGCUCUUCAGUGCGAGAGGGUAAACUAAUUGCUCUCCAACGCGAGAGGGUAAACCAAUUCCCCGACACCCACAUGGGUCAGCUCUCCAAGAACGGGAGGAUAAACUCUACACUCUGAAUAUCCAGACGUGGAUGAGCCGGGCUGCCCUAGUAUAACUAGAUGCACGAUGGCUUGCGCUGGGAUUCCUAGAAGUAGCCGCAAUGGUCUUUUUCAAGGCUUAGCUAACUGAAGGAUUUUGGGUCUCUUGGCCUAAUCCGUGGGGAACCGGGCCCUAGAGACGGAGAGGGCACAUUACACAGUACAUCCGAUGGACGACUGCCCUGGAAUCCUAAAGCUGCUACCGAGUGCACUAAGGUAGCCUACGGAUUCCAGAAGACUGCCUACGGCUUGCCCUUCGAGCAGUAAAGCUGCACUAGACUUAUACAACCACACAUUCUUGUGAAAGGUUAAACAAGCUAGCACGCAUAUACGAAGUUUUAUCCACUGCCGACAUGCUACGUAGUCGAUAAGCUUCACCUCUGCUAAGCGCGGAACAACCUACACCAAGUCCUAAAGUGUUGUGAUACUUGCUACGCAACCUACGGAAUUGGAGAAAGUCAAGGUUAACAGCCUAGUGGUUACGCGGACUUGUCUGCUUCUAUAAGUAAGGCAUCCGGCUGCCAACCCAAUGGCUAACAACUUUGCAAAGUUCUACACCAAAACCUACGGCUGCAUAGGCUACAUGAGCAUGUCUGCUUAUAAAAAAAUAGCAUGCUUGCCACUGGUCUAUCAAGUCUAAAGGUUAGGGCAUGAACAAAAGAAGCAAAAAUGAAGAAAAGCUAAGGAAAACAUGUUUAUAAACGACUAGCAAAGGCCGAAAGAGUUCAAGCAAAACAAGAGCUACAAAGAAAAUCUUAAAGGUUGCCUAGAUGACUACACUUUAGCAGCCUGGACAUCCGACGACUAUUCGGUCGCCACAUCUUCAGCAGCCGCGAAGCUCUUAGCAGCGGCAUCACCCCCGACUGCUCCAGCCUGGGCACCAACUUCUCCAACUACUUCACCAAUACCAACAUGGACGCGCUGCAGCUCAUCCACUUCUUUCUUCAAACUUUCGUUGAUAUUCAGUACACCUUGAAGUUCCAACAUUUGGGGUUCAAGCCUAUCGACGAUUCUCUUGAAGUGGAUCACUUGAUUAUAAGCAGCAAUCAACUUUUCAUCCUUUGCAUAAGCAGGGAAAGAAGUCUUUGGUUUUUUCUAAGCCGUUAUCUCUUGAACAGGCAGGGAAGAUCCCUUUUCCCACCUUCACAUGCAGCAGGAUCCACAGCGGUGAUUGGACGAGCCAAUGCAUCCGCCUUGAUCCUAUUCACCUCUUAUUUUGGGAGCAGCCCAUGUUUGUCCUGACGAAGAGAGUUAAAGUAGCCAACGCCAUUCAUGGUACCUAGCAGGGGAGUUCAACCCAACAUUCCAGCAGCUCAUGAGGCCCACAACCUUUUCAUUUCUCUCAAUCACCUGCCUAGCUCGCGUCAUGUCUAAAAGCCCAAAAAGACAUGAGCCAUGUGAUUCGCCUAGCACUGCGCCACAUCGCCACAAUCCGUGGCCUUAGCCAUACAAGCUGCCUUUGGUUCUAGCCAAGUCGAGCAGUUUAAAGCAGUGGUCCCUGCCACAAUACCUCAUCGGCCCAUGUCGAGCCGACUCCUGGCCCAUGCUAGCCAACAUGCCGCACCACCCCGACGGCUGCCCCAAGGUAGCACCAUCCAAGAAGAAGACAAGGAAAAUUAAUUUUUUCUUACCUCAGUGCGGCAUGAAGAAGACGAAGAAAGCAACGAAAGACGGUCCUUUGCACGUGCAAGAUGUAGAAAAUUGCUAGAGGAGGGGGAACAAAUAUCCUCUAAGCUAUCUCUCUCUUGUAGGAUACAAUAAAUCGUUCUCCAAAGUUGAUUUAAUAACCCACUUAAGGUGGACUUAAAUAGGAUUUGAGAGAAAUUUAUUUCCCUUUCCUAGAAGGAUCUAAUUUCCUAUUAAAGAGAGAAUCUACAUCAAAAUAGGAAGCAGUCCCACGUUUCCUAAAGCAAGAUGAUCUCUACACCUGCUGCAAUUUCCUACGAGCAGCCCAACAGGUGUGGGGGCAUUUGUGGAGCAAAAAAUAAUCACAAGGCGACACGUGGAUUCUUGGGUAAAAGAGGACAAAAAUACCCUUGAGGCAUACUGGGAUUCCUACGCGCGAGCAACGGGCAAUCAUCCCUAAACCAAGUCAAAAGUGCCCAAAAUAGAUAACAAUUUAAUGCCUAUUUCAUCAAAUCCUUUCUAUAAGGUAAUUCCUAAAACCAAAUUUAUUCUAUAUAUUUUGUAUUCCAUUAUUUAGCUAAUCAAUUAGCUAAAUGAUAUUUUCCUUUCAUAUUCCCUAAAAAUUGAUUAAUUAAGGGAUUAAUUACCUAAUCAAUCACUUAAUUAUCAAUUAAAACACCCAUUCACACCUAAAACUACUAAGAGGUCGGCCACCUCCCUUUUCCUAACCUUUUUCACUUUUCUCCAUUUUAUUACCCCAUAUACAAAUAAUCAAUUUUGUAACUCCUAAUUAAACCUAAAUUAAACCCAAAAAACCCAGCCACCUCCUAUCCCUAUAAAUAUACUCUCAUUCUCACCAAAAAAGCCAAUUCCAACACUUUGUAAAAAAUCCCAAAAUUCUCUAAACACUCUUUCUCUUUAAAUUCUAACUUUGGCAUCGGAGGUUUUUCGGCCAAAGCCCCCCCAUUCAUUGUGGGCGCGCGAGGCUCUUGGCCUUAACCUAAGGUGUUAAUUGUUUUGUAGGUGCAAAAUUGUCCAAGAUCAAGGAGGAAGAAAUUUGCAUCCACACGGGUCUUGCCAAGAAUCAUGCAAUUCAACACCAUCAAAUUAAUCGUCCCAUUAGGUAAAGUUUCCGGCUUUGCAACAAAACUCUAUAGUGGUGGAGCCAAAAAACCAGAUUAGGAAGGGCCUUUCAGCCAUAGAAAGAAAUGAGCCUUUAAAAUAUAAUUAAUGACGAGAAAUUAAAGGUUUUGUUUUUUGUAUUGGCAUGGAAAAUUCUAAUAAAACAAGAAUGGUAGAACUUUACAUUUUGUAUAGAAAACUUAGUAUUGAAAUAAUUAUAUCAUAUGAACAAAACUUGUUUCAAGCUUUGAUAAAAAUAAAAAAAAUAAAAAAUAGAUUCGAACAAAAAUCUAAGAUCAUGACUUAAUUAGAUUUUUCUCUAGACUAUUUAGGCCUUUGAUUUAUAUCAACUAGCUAAAAAAAAGUAUGAUUUUUAUAUGGUAAAACGUAAGGCAAAUUAUAACCAAAAAAAAGGAGGGCUUAGUUUUAUUAUGGGGAAAAAUAAGGCAAAGUAUAAGGAUUUUGCUUCCAAUUUAAUCACAGAUUGGAAAUGUGUUCAUCUGUAAUUUGCUAGCAGCAAGAGUUGUUGCUGAUUUUUUCAGCAGUCAAGUUUUGUUCCAAAAAAAUAAACAUCUAAACAGUGUCGGAGCACAAGCAAGUCUCCAACCGAGACCAUUUGGAUAUGCAAAAAGCCAAAAUCCAAUGAGCUACAUGCUCAUUUUGGUAAAAGCUUGCAGACAACAUAUAUAAGACCUGAAAUUUCAAGAUAGGCCAUCACUGGUCUCUAUCUGGCUCCGCCACUGAAACUCUACAAAUAUAAAAAUCAUAACCCAAUUUAGACGAUAAAUUUAUGGAAGCAUAUAAAUAGAGAAAUAAUUUGCUAUUUUAAAAAAUUAUAUCCAUGUAAUCAUAUAAUAUGUAGCAAACCUCGUUGAGAAGAAAUUGAGAAUUUUGUAAGAUGAAGACUUUGUGCACAUUUAUUUAUUUAUUUUUUCUGAUUUCCUAGAAUGAAAUGAGAUUUGGGGGAGGAUAUAUCGGCAGUUUAGUUUGAUAGAAGCUACUUUUUGCUCAACGUGGGUGCCGUUUUUCCAUUUUUCACAUUCAAUUUUUUUAUUGAGGGUUCAUCACGUCCAUUUUUUAAUUUUAUUUUCAUGUUUACAAUCAUCCUGCGUUUUUUUUAAUUGUAUUUUCUUAUUAUUAUACAUUUUAAUGGGUGGGAUCUUAAUCUCUCUCCUAAAAUGGAGGAGGAGUGGGGUUAAUAUCUCCUUAAUCAGCAUGUCUUAAAUGAAAGAGCAGUAUGGCUAAUCUCUCCUUAAUCGGCAUGUCUUCCCCCUUUUUUUUUAUUUUUUUUCCUUUUUUUCUUCUAAUAAAAGGAAUUAAAUAUUUUUUUUCUUUACACAAUUGCCCUUACUUUUUUUUUUUCAUAUUCUAGAAUAUGCCCACAAACAAAUUGUGUGGACAUUUUUACUUUUGUUUUUAAAAUUGAGGGAGAGAGGAAGAGAGUGAAAGAAAAACGUGGGAAUGGGGAGAGAUGGAUAGAGGUUUAUUUUUUUAUAUAUAUUUUUUUAAUUAGAGAUGAUAAAAUUACAUGUAUGUGAUGUUUAAACAAAACAAAAAAAUAAAUUUUUGUUUUAUGAAAUUAUGUUAUUGUCCUUAACUUUUUUUGUAGUGAUAAAAACAAAUGUCUUUUUCACAUUUUUUGGGUUGAUAAAGAAGGUUUCAAUAAUAUAGUACAUAUUUUGUAUCAAUAUGAUAAGUCGGUUUACAAGCAUUUUUAGUCCAAGUGUAAUGGUUGGGUUCAAGCUUAAAAUUUAAGUUUUAAAUCCCCCGAAAGCAUUUCCAGUCAUUAGGUUUUAUUAGGUCUUGGUGAGAAAAAAAACACCAUUGGCCCAGAUUCCGCCCACAAUUUAAUAUUUGUACUUAUCAAUUGACAUUCUUUCAUUUUAUUUUUUUUAGUUGAAAAAUUUUAUGAACUUUUGCACCGUUAUAUUUAAAUUAAGAUACUGCAAGUCUCUUAACUUGAAAAGAGAAAAAAGCAUAAACCCUAUUAAACCAUUAUUUAACUAAUAAAAUAGUAUAUAAUAAAGAAGUUAAUAGAAAACCUAUCGUAAAUACAAACAGAAUGACUUGCACCAAAGCCUAUUAAACCAAAAAGAAAUAAUGAGAAUGUAGAGAGGAUAUUAAUAUUUGUAAAUGCAAAGAAGUAAAUGAAACAUACACCCACUACUGGUCCAAAUUUGUAAUCCUUAUUUUAGAUUGUUAAAAUGAAACUCAAAAUGAACGAUGCUAAGUAUACAUGUAUGCUGUCUUUGCUUGCGAAACUCAAGCAGUUUACAAAAGCUAAGAAACUCUAUACUGAAUAGAAUUCUGUUUCGGAGACACUAGGGUUUCAAAUAUACUCCUUGCAGCAUACAUCAAAGAAAACCAAACGAAAGGACUGAAACCUUUCAUAGUCGGAUGGAGCAGAAUAUACUUCUUCCGUAUUUUCCCUAUGAAACCAACUUCAAAACUGAUUAUACAAAUUAAAAAUUUUCAAACAUUCAAUUACCUAGAAACCACAGUGGUGGAAAUGAAUUGAGCCAUUGCAUGAUAGCGUGUCUUCGAACCACAUCGGUGGCUAAUCUAAUAAAACUUAUCGUUUGACAAAAAAAAUUCAAUUACCCAGAAACCAAAAAUGGAAAUUUUAUUAAAUUAAAUUAAAAUAAACUCAUUGACAAAAGGAACAUAAAAAUGAAAAUUUCUACUAAAUUAAUUAAUACAAACUAAUGCACAAGAGGAGCAUAAACAACCUUUUGAAUUAAUCUAAAGAGAUACAAACUAAAAAUACCGGUCUUGCCAAGAAUCAUGCAAUUCAACACCAUCAAAUUAAUCGUCCCAUUAGGUAAAGUUUCCGGCUUUGCAACAAAACUCUAUAGUGGUGGAGCCAGAAAACCAGAUUAGGAAGGGCCUUAGAAAUUAGCCUUUAAAAUAUAAUUAAUGAAGAGAAAUUAAAGGUUUUGUUUUUUGUAUUGGCAUGGAAAAUUCUAAUAAAACAAGAAUGGUAGAACUUUACAUUUUGUAUAGCAAACUUAGUAUUGAAAUCAUUAUAUCAUAUGAACAAAACUUGUUUCAAGCUUUGAUAAAAAAUAAAAAACAGAUUUGAACAAAAAUCUAUGAUCAUGACUUAAAUUAGAUUUUUCUCUAGAAUAUUUAGGCCUUUGAUUUAUAUCAACUAGCUAAAAAAAAGUAUGAUUUUUAUAUGGUAAAACGUAAGGCAAAUUAUAACAAAAAAAAAGGAGGGCUUAGUUUUAUUAUCGGGAAAAAUAAGGCAAAUUAUAAGGAUUUUUGCUUCCAAUUUAAUCACAGAUUGGACACGUAUCCAUCUGUAAUGUGCUAGCAGCAAGAGCUGUUGCUGAUUUUUUUAGCAGCCAAGUUUUGUUCUAAAAAAAAAUCUAAAAAGUGUCAGAGCACAAGCAAGUCUCCAACCGAGACCAUUUGGAUAUGCAAAACGCCAAAAUCCAAUGAGCUGCAUGCUCAUUUUGGUAAAAGCUUGUAGACAGCAUGUAUAAGACCUGAAAUUUUAAGAUAGGCCUGGGCCAUCACUAGUCUCUAUCUGGCUCCGCCACUGAAACUCUACAAACAUAAAAAUCAUAACCCAAUUUAGACGUUAAAUUUAUGGAGGCAUAUAAAUAGAGAAAUAAUUCGCUAUUUAAAAAAAAAUCUAUCCGUGUAAUCAUAUAAUAUGUAGCAAACCUUGUUGAGAAGAAAUUACGAAUUUUGUAAGAUGAAGACUUUGUGCACAUUUAUUUUUUCUGAUUUCCUGGAUUGAAAUGAGAUUUGUGGAAAGAUAUAUCGGCAGUUUAGUUUGAUAGAAGCUAUGUUUUGCUCAACGUGGGUGCAGUUUUUCCAUUUUUCACAUUCAAUUUUUUUUUAUUGAGGGUUCAUCACGUCCCUUUUUUAAUUUUAUUUUCAUGUUUACAAUCAUCCUGCGUUUUUUUUAAUUGUAUUUUCUUAUUAUUAUACAUUUUAUGGGAUAUUAAUCUCUCUCCUAAAAUGGAGGAGGAGUGGGGUUAAUCUCUCCUUAAUCAGCAUGUCUUAAAUGAAAGAGCAGUGGGGCUAAUCUUUCCUUAAUCGGCAUGUCUUCCCCCUUUUUUAUUUUUUAUUUUUUUUCCUUUUUUUCUUCUAAUAAAAGGAUUUUUUUUCUUUACACAAUUGCCCUUACCUUUUUUUUUGAUAUACUAGUAUAUGCCCACAAACAAAUUGCGAGAAUUUUUUACUUUUGUUUUCAAAAUUAAUGGAGAGAGGAAGAGAGCGAAAGAAAAAUGUGGGAAUGGGGAGAGGUGGACAGAGGUUUAUUUUUUAUUUUUUUUUAAAUUAGAGAUGAUAAAUUCACAUGUAGGUGUGGUUUAAACAAAAAAAGUAAAAUUUUUAUUUGUGAAAUUACGUUAUUGUCCUUUUUUUUGUGAUAGAAAACAAAUGUCUUUUCAUACUCUUUUAGUUGACAAAGAAAGUUUCAAUAAUGUGGUAUAUAUUUUGUAUCAUUAUGAUAAUUCAGUUUACAAGAGUUUUUAGUUCGAGUGUAAUGAUUGUGUUAAAGCGUAAAAUUUAAGUUUUAAAUCCCCUAAAAGCAUUUCCCAUCAUUAGGUUUUAUUAAGUCUUGGUGAGAAAAAAAACCAUUAGCCCAAAUUCCGUCCACAAUUCAAGCCAUAACCGUUGGAGAAAAAAACUGUGUAUGGGUUAUGGCUUAAAAUUUUAAGCUUUAACUCACAUCAUUGCACCUGGUCUUCAAUUGGUUUGUAAUGCUCAUAAGCGUUUGUUCUACAAGUGCUUUCAUAGAGAAACAUUGGAUCUUUUAUUAAAUGUUCAAAUACUUAUUGGAAAAUCACUUGGAAGUGCUUCCUAAAUCAUCGGUUGCUAAAUGCGUUUCUAUAAAACGCUUCUAUGAUACAUAAGUAGUUCACAAAUGCUUCUAAUUACAAUUUUCUUUCUCGACAACCAUAAAGACUUCUGAUUGCCUUUGUCAAUAUAAUUUAUAACCGCUUACGGGUCUUAGAAGUGUUUUUCCUAAAGAAGCUGCCAUGUGAUUUUUUCAUAAAGUAGUUGGAUUUUCAAUAAGAUUUUUAGAUGAGUUUUUCUAAAGAAGCUGCUAUACAGGCCGUAUUCUUUUGGAUGAGUGCUGUGAUCCGUAUCCCAUAUCUGCAUCUGUACCACAUCGUCUGCUAGAUUGAGACGAGAAUAAGUCCUUGAAUCCACGACGUACUUAUCUAGCUUUGCUAAUGUUUACAUCCCGACUACCAUGAAAGCAUAAUAAAGUUAUGGCGGGUGCCCGGUGAAUAUAUGAGUAUCGAACAACUAAAGCACGCAGAAGUAUAAGCCGGACUCACAAGUCGGCAAACGCUCAUGCUUGUAAUCGAAGGGAGUCAGGGGACUGCGCUACAGAACUAACAGCCUCCUUAGCCUCAGCAGACUCAGCUGUUUUGCUGACUUAGUUCUGUAAUCGACAGCUUCCUUCCGUCAUUCCUGACUGCCAUGUAAGCCUCUCGCGCAGGUGAAGGUGAGUUUUAAUGGCAUGGCGGCAGGCCAUUCUGUCCCUCCCACCCUAAGUGGGGCCUCUGAGAAUCCCAAUUGCUUGAGCAGGAGGAAGAACAGAGAAGAUGGUUUUGGAGAAGGUAAACAGGUAAAAAGAACAUAAAAGAUAAAAUUCAAACAAGAUCAAACGGUGAAUCUAAGAGAGAAUUUAGAAAGAAAAUAGGCUUCAUUGGCAAAAUACUGGAAUACAAUGUUGAACAAAAUGACCAAGAUCACUAAACGUCCUACAUCUUGGAUUUUAGAAUACCAUAAAAAAAGUACCAAAUUUCAAAACUUAAACUAAGAAACACAUCUUGGCUCAACAAAAACAGCUACAUCGACUUCUUCCAUCUUGGGACCAGCACUGCUGCCACCAGCAGGAGGAACAUCUUCAUCCAUGGCACCACCGACAUCAGGUCUGCCAGCCCUGGUGCACCUUGGAAAUGAUCGGAUUGCAGAUGCUCUCCAGCUCCUUCAGCUUGUCCUCAAACUCGUCAGCCUCAGCAAGCUGGUUUUCAUCAAGCCAUUGAAUAGCCUGGUUGGUCUGGUCACUCGCAUCCUUGAUCUUCUUGAUCGUGUUCAUCAUGUUGAUAGCAUAAAUCACCAAAGUCUUCCCCAUGUUGCAGGCAUAAUUCUCCAAAGCAAUCUUGGCCUCCACCUUCUUCUUGUGCUUCUCAUCUUCUGACAUGUACUUCUUAGCCUCUUGAACCAUUUUCUCCAUUUCUUCCUUCGACAAUCUUCCCAUGUAAUUGGUGAUGGUAAUCUUCUUCUUCUGCUCUGUAGUCCUGUCUUUAGCAGAGACGUUGAAGAUACCGUUGGCAUCAAUACCAAAGCAGACAGUGAUUUGCGGAACACCCCUUGGAGCAAGAGGAAUGCCAGAAAGCUCAAAUUUUCCCAACAAGUUGUUAUUGCGAGUCCUUGUCCUUUCACCCUCAUAUACUUGGAUCAAGAUACCAGGCUGAUUGUCUGAGUAGGUAGAGAAGACUUGUUCCUUCUUGGUUGGAACGGUUGUGUUCCUUGGAAUAAACACAGUCAUCACACCUCCGGCAGUCUCCAAACCAAGGGACAAAGGAGUGACAUCCAGAACCAAUAAAUCCUUCACCUUCUUGUUACCCUCACCGCUCAAGAUGGCAGCCUGCACAGCGGCGCCAUAACCAACAGCCUCGUCUGGGUUGAUGCUUCUGCACAGCUCUUUGCCCUCGAAGAAGUCCUGCAACAACUGCUGCACCUUUGGAAUCCUAGUAGAACCGCCCACUAGCACAACAUCAUGGACCGAGCACUUGUCCAUCUUUGAAUCUCUCAAACACUUCUCAACGGGCUUCACACACUUUCUGAAAAGAUCCAUGUUAAGCUCUUCAAACCUAGCACGGGUAAUGGUUGAGUAGAAAUCGACACCCUCGUACAAAGAAUCGAUCCCAAUUGUGGUCUGAGAAGUGGAUGAGAGAGUCCUCUUUGCGCUCUCACAAGCAGUUCUUAACCUCCUAAGGGCUCUUGCGCUGCUGCUGAUGUCCUUCUUGUUUUUCCUCUUGAACUCUUGAACAAAGUGAUUCACCAUUCUGUUGUCGAAAUCUUCUCCUCCCAAGUGGGUGUCGCCGGCAGUUGCCUUCACUUGAAAGAUACCCUCUUCACCUGUGAGCAGGGAGACAUCAAAAGUGCCUCCGCCAAGAUCGAAAAUCAAGACAUUCUUCUCCCCAACGCUGGUUGCCUUCUUGUCAAGACCGUAUGCAAAAGCGGCAGCGGUGGGCUCAUUCAUAAUACGCAGAACAUUGAGGCCGGCAAUGACCCCAGCAUCCUUCGUGGCCUGACGCUGAGAAUCGUUGAAGUAAGCCGGGACAGCAACAACGGCAUUCUUUAUAGAUGAGCCAAGAUAGGCCUCAGCAAUCUCACGCAUCUUGAAGAGAACCAUGGAGGAAAUUUCUUCAGCAGUGAACUGCUUCUCUUCGCCCUUGUAUGUGACAACAAUCAUGGGCUUGUCACCGGGGCCGGAAAUGACCUUGAAAGGCCAAUGCUCCAUGUCCCUCUGAACAGAAGGGUCAGAGAAUCUCCUACCAAUCAACCGCUUGGCAUCUGAAAAAUUAACCAAGCUCGUUAAAAAAUACUAAUUUAUUAAUAAUUCAUAACAUAGAACAAGCUACAAUAUCAAGCUAAAUCAAUUAAAACUUAUCAAAAAUAAAAGUAACCAAAUAGAUCAUGCCAGACACUAAAAACUCGGAAAGCUUUUUUAAAUGGGUUUUUAUUACAAACAGUCCCUAAAAUUGAUUCAACUCAUCAAGAUGAUCCUUGAAAUUGAAAAUCGAUCAAUUUGGUAUAUGAAAAUGGGGGGUCAGAAAUCAAUGUGAUCAUUCUGUCACAAUUCCGUCAAACUCUAUUAUGUGUUGAUGUGGCACGUAAGUGGGUCUUACAAGACUAAUGAAUAUUGCCAUAUGGAUUAGAAAUACUUAAAAUAAUUAAAAAUAUAUAUUUUUGGAUAAUUACAAAAAAAAAAAAAAAAAAAAAAAAAAAAAACAGUCAUCUUCUUCUCCCACCCAAGGAAGCUGCACCCCUCCACUUCGGCUCCGAAUCAGAAACUUCAUGCCUGAUAUCUAGAAGCCCCAAAGCCCUUAAUAUCGCAUCCACCGCACAAUGAAGUGACACAUCCCCAUAAUUCGAAUACAAAAUUCAAAAAUUAAAUCGAAAAUGUAAUAAAAUAAAUUAAAAAAAUAUGAAAUUACGGGAAGAAAAAGCAGAUUAAUGGAGGAAUACAUUCAUCUUUUAUUUUAAUUUUUAUUUAUUUAUAAGUUUUUAAUUAUAUAAAUAAUUUUUUAAUUAUUUAAAUAUUUUAAAUCCACAGAGCAAUAUUUAAUUAUAUUUGUGGCACCUGUGCCACAAAGAAUAAGAAUUUUUGACGUAAUUGUAACGGAAUGACCACAUUGAUUAGCGACAUCAAUUUUCAGAGAAUAUUAACCUGCAAAGUUCAAAAAAUAAUUAAAAAAUAAAAAAUAAAAAAUAAACCUGCAAAAUUAUUUAUCACACCCAGCCUAAAAAAAUAAUUGUGUUUGGGAUAAAAUCUGAACUUUGGGCCAGAGAGAAAGUCGGCCCAAACCCAAGGCCCAGAGGAAAACUUAGGAGGCAGGAAAGAGGCUUUCGGCUGGGCACAAGUUACAAAGGCCACCUGCUUACCUGCUCAAAGACCACAGGGGGUAGGCUAUUCAGUCACUACAUAGCCCAAUAAAGUACUUUAUUGGUGGCAUUCAUGUAAAAAAGCUAGUGAGUCAUCACCAAACCGCAUUCGGGCACCGCUAUUGCUACAGGAACCCAAGCUGAAGUCGUCUAUAAAAGGAGGAAGAGAAGACAGAAUUAAAGACACUCAAACAAACAAACAAAAGCCAAAACUCUGCUCAAGCCAGAUUUGCCUUCAACGAAGCUGUAGUCAGCACAAGCCUUCAUCCCAUUCGGGAUAAACCUUCCCAAACCCCUGUAAUAGCUCUGCUACCUUGUUCAUGGUGGUAUCGAUUCAUUUUGUAUCCUCUUCUCCCCCGUCAACCCCUCUAAAAACUUUCAGACCUCUGACAGAGCCACAAAGAUAGAUUUUGUAAGAAGUUCAGCCUUGGCCGAUAAGGUUCAAACUUACCCGACUAUCUUUGCUCUGUCUUUGUCUUUUCUUUCUUUUAAAAGCACAAUAACAUGUUAUAUAUUCCCAAUUAUAUACAAGUUAUUUCUAGCAAAGUCAUAAUGAAAAUGAGUCUUCAGCACUUGAAUCCGAUCUGAAUCGCGUCAGAGUUCAAAUCAGAUCUAAGUCUUAAGCCCGCGGGCAUGUAAUUUAAAGAUCAGUAAAGUCCUUGGCCUCAAGGCAUAAAAAAGAACUCUAUGUGGACUCAACCCAUCCACGACAAUCCUUGAUAAGCGAGAAGUCCGAAGUUACUUGGGGCGCAAGUAAUCAAUCUAUUUCUCCGUUUUGUUGCUAUUAUAUCUUGAUUCGUAGAAAAGGCUUAAGCACGGAGUGAAUUCUGAUAGAAAGCCUCAAGGCCUACACCUAAGGCCCCCUAAGGCCCCACGAAGGCAUCUAUUUAGCUUCAUUUCAUGUUGCGGUCUAGUUGGUCCGAGUAUAAGGAUUAACUCUGAUGGGAAGCCUCAAGGCCUAUACCUAAGGCCCUACAAAGGCACUCAUUUGGGUUCGUCCUACCUCUUGGAUUCAGAUAAUCAAAGGUAUAAUAGUGAUAAGACUCUGGCAACCAUAAAAGACCAAAUAUGAUACAUCCAAGCGCUGGUUUAGGUUGACAGGAAGCCUCAAGGCCUAUACCUAAGGCCCCACAAAGGCACCUGUUAUAUCUAACUUGGUUUCUCGGGCGUAUACAUAUUCAAUCAAAGCUUAACACCCAUUCAACAUCUGCCAUACUAAAGAUGGCAGUGGCACGCCUGAGCACGACAAAGUUAAUCUUGAUUGUGAGCCUUAAGGCCUACACCUAAGGCCCCACAAAGGCACCCUUUCAAAUUAACUUUGUCCUUCUCUUUCAGAACUGCCCGACGAGCCUUGCCCGAAGUGUGUCUUGCCCGACCAAGAUCUGCCCGACAAAGGCUUGCCCAAGCGAGUCCGAGAAGAAAGCAGAAGUACGACAGAUACCCUCAACCGACGCCAUUCUCCCAGGGGAGCUGUGUACUCGUCCGCCAGGAGAUUCCUGCGACGAACAUAGUUUUGGCACGCCCGGUGGGACAAGAAACAGCUACACUUCUAAGAUCUUACAUGUCCAAAAAAGAGAAGCUAUAAACUUGCCAAAAAAGAAGCCAAGAAGGAUCUUUUCCAGAUGACAGAACAAUCAGAAAAUCCUUUAUCCCCAUCCGGACAGGUGGUCUCAGGUAGUUCGACUGCAUCUGAGAAAUCACAGGGGGAAGGGAUUAAUGAAGAACUGCAAGCUACAAUGAUCCAAGUGUUGAAAAGCAUGGAAAGAAUUUCCUUGGAGACUAAGGGAGAAGUAAAGCAGACUCUGCAUGCUUACAGGAAAUCUACAAAGGAGGCUGGAUUUGGAGUUCUCUACUCCAAAGGGUGCUCAAGGAAGUGGAAUGAGUCCAGUUGUUAUAAGAAGUGAGCCAAUCAUUUCUUUGUUUCCACUACUAGAAGAAGAAAAGGAUAGGGGAAAGAAGAAGGUGAUACCUGAAGAAAGUCAAGCAGUGAUGGAGUCAGCUUCAGAAAAGGAGUUUCCCAGCUUCCCAUUAUUAUCAUUUAAUAAUAGGAGGCAGAGCGAACAAGAAAGAAUGAAGUUUGGACUGCCAGCCACGGCUGGGAGAAACUAGCGGGAAAGAAACAACCACUACUACGUCAGAUAAACCUCUACCUUAUAGGCCACCCCCGAUGGUCAACAAAGGUGGAGGAUCUAACUGGAGAAAAUCUGAAACCAAGAGGGAAGCAAACGCGGGCAAUGACCGGAGUCCGAAGAUUGAGUCAGCUAUCCAUGGCCAGAAUGAUAAUUUAGCUACUCAGCAACUAAGAGAAGAAUUGGCUGAGUUAAAGAAGAACGGUGAUUCAAAACGCCCAGCCUCGAGUUCGUCCAGUAUUCAGGGUUACCUACCAGAAGCCAUAUCCUGAAUAUAUCGAUGAGUUAAAUCCAUUCCCUCUUAAUUUCAAGAUGCCCGCAUUCCCGACUUUCACAGGGGAAGAUAGCAGUGUGUCCUCCAGAGAUCGUAUUUUCAAAUUUUCUAAUCACUGUGUGGCGUAUGAGGACAAUCCAAACUACAAAUUGAGGUUGUUUGGAAAUUCACUAGCAGGAUUGGCAUCUCAAUGGUAUUCUCUAUUACCCCCCAAUUCCAUUGCUAACUGGGGGCAAAUGGAGAUGGCUUUCCAUGAACAGCUCUACAGGAUAGAGCCAGAGCUCACCAUUAAUGAUCUGGUAGAAGUGAAACAAUAUGAUCAUGAGUCCACCGAAGAUUUUAUGAUGAGGUUCAGGAGGACAAGGAUGAGAUGUCAGUUCCCUGUCAACCAGGCACAGCUCAUAUCCAUUGCUCAAAGGGCUUUAAAAUUACCUUUGAGAAAGAGGUUCUAUGAUGCACAGUUUAAUGAGCUACAAGAGUUGGUGAUUGCUGCUACUAAGUAUGAGAGGCUGUUACAGGAGGAACAGCAGGUAAAACAUACUUCCAAAACUCCUCCGUUCUACAAAAAUAAAGCUACUAUUCACCAUGUAGAAGUAGGGGAAGCCGGACCCGAAUGCAAAGAUGAUCAUGAGGACAAGAGUAUAGAUGUAUGUGCUGCUGAGAUGACCACACCCUUCAAGCCAUUGACGAUCAAAGGGUUAGUCCAACCAGUCAAGGACCAGAAGAUCGUGAUGAAUGAUGGUGGGUUCGUACCCAUGAAACCCCCAAAGUAUCAAAGUUAUUCUUUCGAUCUAACCAAGGCGCCAGAAAUCUAUGAAGAACUUGUGCGGGCAAGAGUCAUUUUGCCCGACAGCACCAAAAAGAUGCCCAAGCCCGAGGAACUCAGGGGGAAGAAGUAUUGUAAGUUGCAUUAUACCUUCAACCACUCUAUAGUCAAUUGUGUCCAGUUUAGGGACUGGGUACAUGAUCUUAUAGUGAAGGGGAAGUUACUACUCGAUUCACCUCAGGCUAGUAUGUUGGUGGAUACUAACCCUUUCCCCGAAGCUCCUAUUAGCAUGAUCGACCUCGUUUUCAAGGAGUCGGGGUUAUCAACAGAGUAAAAUGCCAUUGAAAGGACCCGGGAGCAGGGGCUAAGAUUGCCAACAAUAAAGAUGGAGGAGAAAAGCAGGUAGGCAAGGGGGCAUAGAGUUGCCUGAGGCCUAUCCAAAUGGAGCAGAACAGGAGGAAUGUUACAUAUCCAUUCUAAAACAAAAAGAGAUUACAAAGUAAUUCUAUUCCAAAAACUUUAUAUCUUCACAUAAGGUGAUUAUUCUAGAAUGGUAUGUUCGCAUGAUGGUAAAAAUUCUAUUUGGUUCAGCCAAGACAGUAUGGCUGUUUACAAGUUCAGACUUGGUUUGCUCUAACUCUGAAGUCGCUUUUUCCACCCCUUCGAUCUGUUGCUCAAGGUUAUCCAGAAGAGUUGUUUGCUUCGCCUUAAGGAUCAUCAGUUGUCUCUCCAACUUCUGAAUUUCAGAAGAAACAACUUCAAUCCGUUCUUUGGUCUGCAUACUCUCUUCCAUCAGCCGACUAACUUGGGUAGAGGAGCUCGAUUCUCUCUCUAUGAAGCAUUUUGCCCGGUUAGCCAGCCGGUCUGCUCUCUGAUGUUGCUCCCUGAGGGCCCUCAAGUUUUCAAAGAAAGAAAGGAAAGAAUCAUACUGAGGCUUAGAUAAGCGAUCGUUUUUAAAGAACUCAGUAAUGACUCUCUCGAGGUCACAGAGAGCCUUGAGGCUAAAUGAUGCAGUGAAUUCUUUCUUUGCCCAUGUUUGAAAGAUUUGUGUUGCUGCUCCGAAGACAUAGAUUUUGUUGAAGCCUGCUUUGAAGACUUCAACCGCGUCUCAAGUCGCCCGAGUGCUUCGAAGAGUUUGGGCAACUUGGCAGGAUCAGAGGAGGAAGGAGAAGGGUCCGGCAUAACAGUUUCUUCUGGUGAGAUAAUGCCUAUGGAAGGGGCAAUUUCUGUUUGUUCAAUCGGUUCAUCUCUAGACAGGGAGGUGUCAACAUCUCCAGAGGAAGAAGGAGGUUGAAAGCACCUUGGGUUACGGGCCAUUGGAGGAGGGGAAGUUUCUUUUGGGGAAGCUCGCUACAAAACUUCAGGAUCAGGACAAGAUGAACUAUACACAAAUCAAAACAAAAGAGGCUUUGGAGAGAAGAAAGUUACCUGACUUAACCCCGGGGUUUCACCAGAAAAUGCACUAACUCCUUGUCGAGGUGAAGAUUUUUCACCACCAGCGACAUAUGGGAAAGUUGUGCCUGAACCUGUGCCUACAUCCUGGUUGUAUCCAAAGAAAGUAGUGAUGAUCAGCAAAAGGUCACCAGAGGAAGAAACAAGAAGAAAAUAUUCCAGCACCUGAGGUUGAUCUUGAGGAGAAGGAGGUUCAUCGACCGUCUGGCGAGUAAGCGCUUGCGAAAUAGUUGUGUCUAAAGCUACAGGGAUCUCAGGAACUAUGGGUUCUUUAUCCAAGGCCACUGACGGGGAAAGGGGUUCAUAUCCCGAAGAUGGCUGCAAAGAACAUGGAUAGGAGUUACUUGGGUAGCAAUGUGCAAAGUUGAAAUGAAAAGAAAGAGUAACUCACCAAAGUAUCAUCCUCAUCCACAAAAUGCAACAUGAUUCUUGUGGAAGGAUCAAAUUGAGAAGAAGGGGUUGCAUCUAGGGCAGGUUGCGGAGAAAGACUUUCUUUCCUUGUAGCCUAAAGCCAAAUUAUUCAAAAUUCAGAAAGGUUUGAAAAUAAGAAAGUAUAAAGAUAGAAGUCAUACCUCUUUAAGCGUAGCAGCCCUUCGUGAUUCCUUCUUAGAAGCAAGGGUUGACCUUUUAGAAGCUUGAGGUCCUGUUGAGUGAUAAAGGGAUAAUCAGAUAAGGGAGAAAGGUAGCCAUUUGAUCCAGAAGAGGAGAGACUCACUGGAAGAUUGUUCUGUCUCUUUACCCGCUUCAGAAACGGGAGCAGAUGGGGCUGCUGGUUUAGGAGGCACGGUGACUCUUGCCCGCUUACUCUUUCGGGUAAGAAUUGGUCGUGUGGUUGCUGAAGGAAGCGCCGGAUCAGAGAUUGUGGUUUUAGUUAUGGCCACCCUCUUUCGUUUAGAUGCUUUGGUCGUAUCUUUGGCUAUUCUUUUAAUUGUUUCUUCAGCUCCUGAAUCCCCAAGAGAUUCAGAGACGUCUGUCCCUUCCCCGGCUUCCCGCCUUUCAGCUUCUGCUGCAGCACCAUGAAGAACUGCGGCAUCAGCAGAAUCAUUCUCUGAUUCGAUGGCUUCGGAUUCAGUAUCAACUGAAGCUGCAGAAACAGGUAAGAGUGAGGAAAGUAAACAACAAGGAAAGCAAAAUCGGAUGGGAAGAAAGUCACCUAUUAGGAGUAAUCAGUUUUUCUCUUGGAUCAUAUCUUUCCAAUUUGCAAGCUCGCCCGAGCUAGGAUAUGAUUUAAGAGAAAGCUGGCUGAAAAUACGAUCGUGGUUCACUUUCAAAUCUCCUCCGUAUUUUCUAGUCCACCUUUCCUCCCACCAAGAAGAAAACAGCGAGGUACAUUCGAAAUUAAGAACAACGGAAUGUCGGGCUGCUUGGCUCAUCACGUCCAAACUACGGCGGGCAGCUCGAAAUAUUGCUUCAGAAUGAGUCUGUAACCGAAAUGAAGUGCCACAAUGGAUGGAGUCGAAGAAUGGGACAGGUAUGGAUUGCCUAAAUCCUAAUUGCCUGCUGCAGAAGUUAGGAUGAUACACAUCCAAGCCUCGAUCAUACCGAUUUCCCCGGACCCCCCAGGCCAAGUCUCUUGGCUGAAUACAGCUGAUAAACUUUUCCCUGCAGAAGGGAGCAGCAUCCUCACCAGGGGCAUCUUGGAAGGCUUGGUCAGAAAACCAAGGAUAUCUCCUCAAGACCGAUGCACCCCAUUCCAAGUCUGACCGAGUCCUGCAGACUCGGAAAAAGUAGAAGAAGCAUGCAAAGGUGGAAUGAUCUACAGGAGGAGCUUCAGCCAGGAUUCGGGCAGGAGCCACACCCUCUGGAAACUCUAGAUUGAUAGCCCGAAAUUCUGGAAAAUACCAUUGUAGCCAAAUCUGUAUCAUCCAGAUGGGGCCGUUCAAAUUGGUCUCAAAGGGCUCAUCCCGGGUCAUGUCAAAAAGAAGGUGAUAGAGAUGGGAGAGAAGGAAUGGACCUGUGGUAACGUCAUCAAAAUUGUGAAGAACCUCUACCAAGGGGAUCCAUUCUACCCGUACCCCCUUGGAUUUGUUGGGGAAGACGUGCUUGUUAAGCCAGUAAAGAAGAAAGUACAUAUGCUCUUGAUCUUUGUCGGCUUGAGGAGAGCCUACCCCGAAGUUCUUCUUGACAAAAGGGAUGAAUCCUUUAAAGGAGGUCCCAUAACUUUUGAAAGUAACUGAGUUAUAGCUAAGAGGAAGGAAGUAGGUGGAAGAACUUGAGCCCCCGGUGGUAGAGGAUGGAAUCCAAUCUUGAGUAACAUCUAUCACCCUGCCCGAUGGCCUCAACCCGAAGACUUGGGCCAUAUCAAGAAUGGUGGGAGACAUGGGACCCAUACGGAAAUCGAAGGUGUUUGUGCCCGUAUUUCCAAAAGAGGAGGGCAGAAGCAAGCAAUUCGGGCUUAGGGGUAAUUGAAAUCUUCGAAAGCAUAAUCAGUUCGUAGAUGCCGUUACUCAUCCAUUUCUGCUUGAAGGAAGGUUCCAAUUCGUCAAUCCACUGGGCCCAGGCAAGAUCAUUCAUCAAGGGAAAGACUCGACGAUGAAAAGACCACUUAGAAGAAGAAAUGCCCGAGUCGGCCAAAUAAGGAUUUGGGGUAAACCAGUUUCCCCUAGGCAUAUUACUUUCUACUACUGAGGGAACCCGAGAAAUCCAGGCAGGACCCAAAGAUUGAACCCCAUGCAUCUCAAAGAAGAGUUCAGAAUGCAGACCUGCCCGCGGACGAUGCAGCCCGUUGAGCAGACGGCGUAGAGUGGCAAUUCCUUCACCAGACUCGUAGGAUGGUAGGGUUUGGCCGGAUCCUGAGGCCAUUUAAUGAAGGCCGUGGGGAAGAAAAACAAGGAGAACGGUAAAGAUACAACCUCGUCGGACAACGAGAAAGAAAUGAUGGAAGAAUUGGGAAGUUUUGUUGUAUCAGAGAAGGUUUUCUUUUUACGAAACACAGAGAACAGAGAAGUUCACUCACAAGGGUUCUAAGAGUUCUAAGGGUUUAAAGCAGGGGUCUCUUUCAAUUAAUAUUGGCGCCUGGGAUCCCAACCUUAACAUCAAUUGAAGGGGGCACUGUUUGGGAUAAAAUCUGAACUUUGGGCCAGAGAGAAAGUCGGCCCAAACCCAAGGCCCAGAGGAAAACUUAGGAGGCAGGAAAGAGGCUUUCGGCUGGGCACAAGUUACAAAGGCCACCUGCUUACCUGCUCAAAGACCACAGGGGGUAGGCUAUUCAGUCACUACAUAGCCCAAUAAAGUACUUUAUUGGUGGCAUUCAUGUAAAAAAGCUAGUGAGUCAUCACCAAACCGCAUUCGGGCACCGCUAUUGCUACAGGAACCCAAGCUGAAGUCGUCUAUAAAAGGAGGAAGAGAAGACAGAAUUAAAGACACUCAAACAAACAAACAAAAGCCAAAACUCUGCUCAAGCCAGAUUUGCCUUCAACAAAGCUGUAGUCAGCACAAGCAUUCAUCCCAUUCGGGAUAAACCUUCCCAAACCCCUGUAAUAGCUCUGCUACCUUGUUCAUGGUGGUAUCGAUUCAUUUUGUAUCCUCUUCUCCCCCGUCAACCCCUCUAAAAGCUUUCAGACCUCUGACAGAGCCACAAAGAUAGAUUUUGUAAGAAGUUCAGCCUUGGCCGAUAAGGUUCAAACUUACCCGACUAUCUUUGCUCUGUCUUUGUCUUUUAUUUCUUUUAAAAGCACAAUAACAUGUUAUAUAUUCCCAAUUAUAUACAAGUUAUUUCUAGCAAAGUCAUAAUGAAAAUGAGUCUUCAGCACUUGAAUCCGAUCUGAAUCGUGUCAGAGUUCAAAUCAGAUCUAAGUCUUAAGCCCGCGGGCAUGUAAUUUAAAGAUCAGUAAAGUCCUUGGCCUCAAGGCAUAAAAAAGAACUCUAUGUGGACUCAACCCAUCCACGACAAUCCUUGAUAAGCGAGAAGUCCGAAGUUACUUGGGGCGCAAGUAAUCAAUCUAUUUCUCCGUUUUGUUGCUAUUAUAUCUUGAUUCGUAGAAAAGGCUUAAGCACGGAGUGAAUUCUGAUAGAAAGCCUCAAGGCCUACACCUAAGGCCCCACGAAGGCAUCUAUUUAGCUUCAUUUCAUGUUGCGGUCUCUAGUUGGUCCGAGUAUAAGGAUUAACUCUGAUGGGAAGCCUCAAGGCCUAUACCUAAGGCCCUACAAAGGCACUCAUUUGGGUUCGUCCUACCUCUUGGAUUCAGAUAAUCAAAGGUAUAAUAGUGAUAAGACUCUGGCAACCAUAAAAGACCAAAUAUGAUACAUCCAAGCGCUGGUUUAGGUUGACAGGAAGCCUCAAGGCCUAUACCUAAGGCCCCACAAAGGCACCUGUUAUAUCUAACUUGGUUUCUCGGGCGUAUACAUAUUCAAUCAAAGCUUAACACCCAUUCAACAUCUGCCAUACUAAAGAUGGCAGUGGCACGCCUGAGCACGACAAAGUUAAUCUUGAUUGUGAGCCUUAAGGCCUACACCUAAGGCCCCACAAAGGCACCCUUUCAAAUUAACUCUGUCCUUCUCUUUCAGAACUGCCCGACGAGCCUUGCCCGAAGUGUGUCUUGCCCGACCAAGAUCUGCCCGACAAAGGCUUGCCUGAGCGAGUCCGAGAAGAAAGCAGAAGUACGACAGAUACCCUCAACCGACGCCAUUCUCCCAGGGGAGCUGUGUACUCGUCCGCCAGGAGAUUCCUGCGACGAACAAAUUGCUUUCAAGGAAAUUGAACUCUUUUUCUCAGAAAUUCAGGCAAUAGAAAUCUAAAAACAGCAAAGUUUAAACAACCAGCAAAUAUUGACAGUAAAAUUCGUAAAAUCAGCAAGACAAGCAGAGAUCAAACAGUACGAGGCAAAAAAACAUCACAUAAAAAAAUUUCGCAAGAAAAAGAAGGUAUCUCGAUUCUUGCCCAGGACGGUGUUGAUGGGGUUCAUUGCGCCUUGGUUCUUGGCCGCAUCGCCGAUCAACCUCUCCGUAUCAGUAAACGCCACGUAAGACGGCGUCGUGCGGUUGCCCUGUUCAUUAGCGAUGAUCUCGACGCGGUCGUGUUGCCAAACAGCGACGCACGAGUAACUAGUUCCGAGAUCUAUACCGAUCGCUGGCCCCUCUCCCUUUACCGCCAUUGCAACCGCUGAUAUUCAAUCAAUCAAAGAACCGCAGAGAAAAGUAAAGAGCUUUUGAGCUUUUGAGAUAGGUAAAGAAACUUAGCCAGGACGAAAUAAAUUCAGUUUGUAGAAUUUUAUUUUCUUUUUACAUUUGUUGGCGCGUAAAGACAUUCUUAUAGUUAUAAUACAGUUAUAAUACUCUAAGUGCACGUACAAUGUUUAAUUUUAAUAUUUGUACUUGUCAAGAGAUAUUCUUUAAUUUUAAUUUUUUUAGCUAAAAAUUUGUAUGAACUUUUGCACCGUUAAAUUUAAAUUAAGGUUAUGCAAGUCUCUCAACUUGAGAAAAUCACACAAAACCUGUUAAACCAUUAUUUAACUAAUAAAUUAGUAUACGAUAAAGAAGUUAAUAGAAAGGUAACCUAUUGUAAAUACAAACAGAAUGACUGCACUAAAGCCUAUUAAACCAAAAAGAAAUGAAAAGAAUGUAGGUAGAAAAUUAAUAUUAGUAAAUGAGAAUUAAUAUUAAGGAAAACUAAUAAAAAUGGUUUAAAAACUUUGAGUUUUAACGAUAAGGACAAAAUAAAAAGUAAAGUGAAUAGUACCGAGAUCACCAAACAUAAAGGAUAAAAUUCAAACAAUAUCAAACAGUGAAUCCAAGAGAGAUAAUUUAGAAAGAAAAUGGGCUUCAUUGACAAAAUACUAGAAUACGAUGUUGAACAAAAUAACCAAGAUCACCAAACAUCCUACAUCUUGGAUUUUAGAAUCCCAUUAAAAAAGUACCCAAUUUCAAACCUUAAACUAAGAAACACAUAUUGGCUCAACAAAAACAGAUUCAUUGACUUCUUCCAUCUUGGGACCAGCACCGCUGCCACUAGCAGGAGGAACAUCUUCAUCCAUGGUGCCACAGACAUCAGGUAUGCCAGCCUUGGUGCACCUUGGCAAUGAUUGGAUUGCAGAUGCUCUCCAGCUCAUCCAGCUUGUCCACAAACUCGUCAGCCUCAGCAAGUUGGUUUUCAUCAAGCCAUUGAAUAGCCUGGUUGGUCUGGUCACUCGCGUCCUUGAUCUUCUUGAUCGUGUUCAUCAUGUUGACAGCAUAAAUCACCAAAGUCUUCCCCAUGUUGUAGGCAUAAUUCUCCAAGGCAAUCUUGGCCUCUACCUUCUUCUUGUGCUUCUCAUCUUCUGACUUAUACUUCUUAGCCUCUUGAACCAUCUUCUCUAUUUCUUCCUUCGACAAUCUUCCAUUGUCCUUGGUGAUGGUAAUCUUGUUCUUCUUCCAUGUAGUCCUGUCUAUAGCAGAGACGUUGAAGAUACCAUUGGCAUCAAUAUCAAAGCAGACAGUGAUUUGCGGAACACCCCUUGGAGCAAGAGGAAUGCCAGAAAGCUCAAAUUUUCCCAACAAGUUGUUAUCGCGAGUCCAUAUCCUUUCACCCUCAUAUACUUGGAUCAAGAUACCAGGCAGAUUGUCUGAGUCGGUAGAGAAGACUUGUUCCUUCUUGGUUGGAACGGUCGUGUUCCUUGGAAUCAACACAGUCAUCACACCUCCGGCAGUCUCCAAACCAAGGGACAGAGGAGUGACAUCCAGAAGCAAUAAAUCCUUCACCUUCUUGUUACCCUCACCGCUCAAGAUGGCAGCCUGCACAGCGGCGCCAUAAGCAACAGCCUCAUCUGGGUUGAUGCUUCUGCACAGCUCUUUGCCCUCGAAGAAGUCCUGCAACAACUGCUGCACCUUUGGAAUCCUAGUAGAACCGCCCACUAGCACAACAUCGUGGACCGAGCUCUUGUCCAUCUUUGCAUCUCUCAAACACUUCUCAACGAGCUCCAUACACUUUCUGAAAAGAUCCAUGUUAAGCUCUUCAAACCUAGCACGGGUAAUGGUUGAGUAAAAAUCGACACCAUUGUACAAAGAAUCGAUCCCAAUUGUGGUCUGAGAAGUGGAUGAGAGAGUCCUCUUUGCCUUCUCACAAGCAGUUCUCAACCUUCUACGAGCACUUGGGCUGCUGCUGAUGUCCUUCUUGUGUUUCCUCUUGAACUCUUGAACAAAAUGAUUCACCAUUCUAUUGUCGAAAUCUUCUCCUCCCAAGUGGGUGUCUCCGGCAGUUGCCUUCGCUUUAAAAAUACCCUCUUCAACUGUGAGCAGGGAGAUAUCAAAAGUGCCUCCGCCAAGAUCGAAAAUCAAGACAUUCUUCUUGCUAACGCUGGUGACCUUCUUGUCAAGACCAUAUGCAAAAGCGGCAGCGGAGGGCUCAUUCAUAAUACGCAGAACAUUAAGGCCGGCAAUGACCCCAGCAUCCUUCGUGGCCUGACGCUGAGAAUCGUUGAAGUAAGCCGGGACAGUAACAACGGCAUUCUUUAUAGAUGAGCCAAGAUAGGCCUCAGCAAUCUCACGCAUUUUGAAGAGAACCAUGGAGGAAAUUUCUUCAGCAGUGAACUGCUUCUCUUCGCCCUUGUAUGUGACAACAAUCAUGGGCUUGUCACCGGGGCCGGAAAUGACCUUGAAAGGCCAGUGCUUCAUGUCACUCUGAACAGAAGGGUCAGAGAAUCUCCUACCAAUCAACCGCUUGGCAUCUGAAAAAUUAACCAAGCUCGUUAAAAAAAUACUAAUUUAUUAAUAAUUCAUAACACAGAACAAGCUACAAUAUCAAGCUAAAUCCAUUAAAACUUAUCAAAAAUAAAAGUAACCAAAUAGAUCAUGCCAGACACUAAAAACUCGGAAAGCUUUUUUAAAUGGAUUUUUAUCACAAACGGUCAUUGAAAUUGAUUGAACUUAUCAAAAUGAUCAUUGAAAUUGAAAAUCGAUCAAUCUAAUCCAUAAAAACGGGGUCGGAAAUCAAUGUGAUCAUUCUGUCACAAUUCUGUCAAACUCUGUUAUGUGCUGAUGUGGCACAUAAAUGGGUCUCACAAGACUAAUUCAUAUUGCCACAUGGAUUAGAAAUACUUGAAAUUAUUUUUGAAAAAAAUAUUUUUGGAUAAUUAAAAACUUAAAAAAAAAAAUAGCCAUCUUCUCCCACCCGAGGAAGCUGCACCCCUCCACUUCGGCUCUGAAUCAGAAACUAUGCCUGAUAUCCAGAAGCCCCAAAGCCCCUAAUAUCGCAUCCACCACACAAUGAAGUGACACAUCCCCAGAAUUCGAAUACAAAAUUCAAAAAUUAAAUAAAAAAUGUAAUAAAAUAAAUUAGAAAAUGUGAAAUUACGGGAAGAAAAAGCAAAUUAAUGGAGGAAUACAGUCAUAUAUAUAUAUAUAUAUAUAUAUAUAUUUUUAAGUUUUUAAUUAUAUAAAUAAUUUUUAAUUUAUUUAAAUAUUUUAAAUCCAUAGAGCAAUAUUUACUUAUAUUUGUGGGAACCAGUUAUGUGCCACAAAGAAUUUUUGACGGAAUUGUAACGGAAUGACCACAUUGAUUUGUGACACCAAUUUUCAGGGAUUACAUUGAUUGAUUUUCAAUUUCAUGGACCAUCUUGAUAAGGUAGAUCAAUUUAAGAGACCAUUUAUGAUAAAAACCAUUUUUAAAAUUUCAUCCAACAAUUUACAAGAAACUUAAAACCCAAAUUAUAAUUUUGAACAGAUUAACUAAAACUCGUGGCCGUGACCACCAAUUAUAAUAUUUGAUAGUCCAUUAAUAUUAACUAAACAAAUCCUGCAAAUAAAAAUAAAAAAUAAAUAAACCGAUCAAUUCGCUAUAAAAAGAUUCAAGGCACAACAAACCCUGCACAAAAUUAACCUGCAAAGUUAUUUAUCAGACCAAGCCUCAAAAAGAUAAUUACUUUCAAGGAAAUUGAACUCUUUUUCUCAGAAAUUCAGGCAAUAGAAAUCUAAAAACAGCAAAGUUUAAACAACCAGCAAAUAUUGACAGUAAAAUUCAUAAAAUCAACCAUACAAGCAGAGAUCAAACAGUACAAGGCAAAAAAACAACAUCACAUAAAAAAGAAAGUAUCUCGAUUCUUACCCAGGACGGUGUUGACGGGGUUCAUGGCGACCUGGUUCUUGGCCGCAUCGCCGAUCAACCUCUCCGUAUCAGUAAACGCCACGUAAGACGGCGUCGUGCGGUUGCCCAGAUCAUUAGCGAUGAUCUCGACGUGGUCGUGUUGCCAAACAGCGACGCACGAGUAACUAGUUCCGAGAUCUAUACCGAUCGCUGGCCCCUCUCCCUUUACCGCCAUUGCAUCAGCUGAGAUUCAAUCAAUCAAACAAGCAAAGAACCGCAGAGAAAAGUAAAGAGCUUUUGAGAUUUUUGGGCGAUAGGUAAAGAAAGUUAGCCAGGAAGAAAUUCAGUUUGUAAAAUAUUCCCUCCCUUCUGCAUGUGCGUAUGAAAGACGCUACGCGCGGCGUGUAGAAUUAUAUUUUCUUUUUACAUUUGUUGGCGCAUGAAAACAUUCUUAUAGUUACAAUGCGCGAAGCGCACGUACAAUGUUUAAUUUUAAUAUUUGUACUUGUCAAGAGACAUUCUUUAAUUUUAAUUUUUUUAGUUGAAAAUUUGUAUGAACUUUUGCACCGUUAGAUUUAAAUUAAGACUAUGCAAGUCUCUCAACUUGAGAAAAUCACAUAAAACCUGUUAAACCAUUAUUUAACUAAUAAAUUAGUAUAUGAUAAAGAAGUUAAUAGAAAGGUAACCUAUUGUAAAUACAAACAGAAUGACUGCACCAAAGCCUAUUAAACCAAAAAAAAAUGAGGAGAAUGUAGGUAGAAAAUUAAUAUUAGUAAAUGGGGAUUAAUAUUAAGGAAAACUAAUGAAAAAGGCUUGAAAACUUUGAGUUUUAACGAUAAUGAUAAAAUAAAGGAUAAAGUGAAUAUUACUAGGAUUGACUUCUUGGUGUAAAUGUGGUUUUUCGUUAAAGUGAACAGUAUUGGGAGAUUUUCAUUAGAGUUCCCUUAAUAUUAAUGGUCCAAAUCUGUAAUCCUUAUCUUAGAUUGCUAAAAUGAAACUCAAAAUGAACAAUGCUAAGUAUACAUGUGUAUGCUAUCUUCGCUUGCGAAACUCAAGCAGUUUGCAAAAGCUGAGAAACUCUAUACUGAAUAGGACUUUGUUUCGGAGACUCUAGGGUUUCAAAUAUACUUCUUGCAGCGUACAUCAAAGAAGACCAAACGAAAGGACUGAAACCUUUCAUAGUCGGAUGGAGCAAAAUAUACUUCUUCUGUAUUUUCCCUGUGAAACCAACUUCAAAACUGAUUGUACAAAUUAAAAAAUUUCAAACAUUCAAUUACCCGGAAACCAAAAAUGAAAAUUUUAUUAAAUUAAAUUAAAAUAAAUCAUUGGCAAAAAGAACAUAAAAAUGAAAAUUUCUACUAAAUUAAUUAAAAUAAACUAAUACGCAAGAGGAACAAAGGCAACCUUUUGAAUUAAUCUAAAGAGAUGCAAACUAAAAAUACCGGUCUUGCCAUCAAACAGUGAAUCUAAGAGAGAUAAUUUAGAAAGAAAAUAGGCUUCGUAGGCAAAAUACUGGAAUACGAUGUUGAACAAAAUGACCAAGAUCACCAAACAUCCUACAUCCUUCAUCGACUUCUUCCAUAUUGGGACCAGCACCGCUGCCACCAGCAGGAGGAACAUCUUCAUCCAUGGCGCCACCGACAUCAGGUUUGCCAGCCCUGCUGCACCUUGGCAAUGGUCGAAUUGCAGAUGCUCUCCAGCUAGUCCUCAAACUCGUAGGCCUCAGCAAGCUGGUUUCCGUCAAGCCAUUGGAUGGCCUAGUCAAUCGCAUCCUCAAUCUUCUUCUUGUCAGCGGCGUCCAGCUUGGAGGCAAUCUUAUCAUCCUUGAUCGUGUU